GAUGAACGCUGGCGGCGUGCCUAAUACAUGCAAGUCGAGCGAACAGACGAGGAGCUUGCUCCUCUGACGUUAGCGGCGGACGGGUGAGUAACACGUGGAUAACCUACCUAUAAGACUGGGAUAACUUCGGGAAACCGUAGCUAAUACCGGAUAAUAUAUUGAACCGCAUGGUUCAAUAGUGAAAGACGGUCUUGCUGUCACUUAUAGAUGGAUCCGCGCUGCAUUAGCUAGUUGGUAAGGUAACGGCUUACCAAGGCAACGAUGCAUAGCCGACCUGAGAGGGUGAUCGGCCACACUGGAACUGAGACACGGUCCAGACUCCUACGGGAGGCAGCAGUAGGGAAUCUUCCGCAAUGGGCGAAAGCCUGACGGAGCAACGCCGCGUGAGUGAUGAAGGUCUUCGGAUCGUAAAACUCUGUUAUUAGGGAAGAACAAAUGUGUAAGUAACUAUGCACGUCUUGACGGUACCUAAUCAGAAAGCCACGGCUAACUACGUG
RNAcentral lists this ribosomal RNA (497 nucleotides) under uncultured bacterium. RNAcentral's name for it is "partial 16S ribosomal RNA". It matches the Rfam family "Bacterial small subunit ribosomal RNA", at positions 28 to 507 of the family's 1533-position model. The record is from RNAcentral.